RNAcentral lists this long non-coding RNA (7914 nucleotides) under Homo sapiens (human). RNAcentral's name for it is "HSALNT0063990". Lineage: Eukaryota; Metazoa; Chordata; Mammalia; Primates; Hominidae. The record is from RNAcentral.
CAGUCCCGGGGAAUGACUGUUCAACCUGACUUCAAUCAUAUGUCCACCUCUCUAUGAUCAGAUCUGUUAACAGAAGACAUGGCAGGGAAGAGAAAUAAUAACCAAUAUAAUGGGUGGUACAAUGUUAAAAUAUAUAUAUACUUGAGAAAAUAAUAAAUAAUAGGAAUAAAAAUCACAUUCUAUAAAAACCAAAUGCAUAUAGACAGCCAACUAUAUCGAAAGUUUAGGACAAAUAAUCCUAUGUUCAAGACAACAUCAGGGUGUGUUUAAACAGUUUAGAACUCUUCUUAAACCCGGCCCCCUCUUUCCUUCUAUUACUUUUUCCUCUAAAUAUAUUGCCUUCUAGUUGUUGGCCAAAUAUGGGACUGAAAUAUGUUUAAAUAUAUUGAAAUUAAUCAGUAAAGACUUGCUUACACUCUUUGCAGAUUUUAAAUCAGGAGAUUUUUAAAACCAUUUCAAACCUCACUAAGCUUUUUGUUUUGUUUACACAGAGGAUUCCCCAUGUCUCAUAAGCUUAAAGAAAAAAAAAUUAUUCAAUAGACCAGUCAAAUGGAAGAGGCUUUUAUUUGUAAAGAAAUGAACUUACAACUGAUCUACAAUAUAUUAUUGUAAUAUAAACAAUAUAAAUAAAUGAUCCUGUAGGCCCACUAAUCUUCCAUCCAGACCCACAUGAAGCAAUGUUACAACAAUAUUCUAUAUGAAAAUGUGCAGGUAACAAAGGUGCAAUUACAAGCAAGUUAAGCAGCAGAGUAUAAGGUGCUUUAAUUUAAUAGUUAAUGUUGCCAUCAACAAACAUUUAAAUGCUCAAUUUACUUCACUGAAUACAGACACAACAAAUAUGAAAAUCUAAAUUCAUACACAUGCUACUUAAUAUGAAAGUGCUUUCUCUUUUUUAAAAAAAUACACCAAAUGGACACUUUUUACAUAGAUCAAAUGUGCUCUUACAAUGCAAAAUUAACCUUCAUUUUCAGGUUAUACAUUUUAAAACUGUAGCUAUCAACACCAAUCUAGGAACUCUAAUGCUAAGAGUGCUAAAAACUAUUUCAUUUCUUGUAAGGAGGACUCUAAUACAAUAUCCAAUGUAAAGAAUACAUCUAUAUAUAAUCUUAACAUGUUUUCUGUAAAGAUAAAAAAUGUUUUCUUUCCCCUUGGUGAUCUUUGUUCAUCCUGGGUGGAUCAUCUUUUGAGGUUUUAAUAAUAUGAAAGUCCUAUUUUAGAACAAUGGGAGGAACCAAAAGGGGAAUUAAAAAAUUGGUUAACGUGUGCUUGAAGCAUCCAAAAAACACCAGUUUAUCACAACAAUUGGUCUUUGCUAAAAUUAACAAAAUUUUAAUAAGCAAGACGACAAAAAGUACUAAUUUAAAAGGCUUGAAAUGCCUGCCACCAUUGUCAGUAUCCAUCCAAAAUUAUAUCAUCUUUGCGCAUUCAGUUGACUUUUUAAAAUUUAAGAAUACAUAUACAAAAAGUACUUAUGGAAUACAUAUUUUAACAGCAUAACAUAUUUGAAGAAUUAGUUACACUUUAAAAAUUAAAACACUUGAAAAGUAUUUUUUAAACCAGUACCAUGGAAUAACUUUUUGAAACCCAGAUUAUCUGGCUACUUAGAUGAUAGUCUUCCUGUUUUCAAUUAGUUUGAAAGAUUCUAAUAUAGAUUCUAACCCAACAGUUUAUAUGGAUAUUUUCCUGCUUUAAAAAGCUGCAACAGGCUAGGCGCAGUGGCUCAUGCCUAUAAUCCCGGCACUUUGGGAGGCUGAGGUGGGCGGAUCACUUGAGGUCAGGAGUUCGAGUCCAGCCUGGCCAACAUGGUGAAACCCCAUCUCUACUAAAAAUACAAAAAACUGGCCAGGCAUAGUGGUGCAUGCCAGUAAUCCCAGCUACUUGGGAGGCCAAGGUGGGAGAAUCUAUUGAACCUGGGAGGUGGAGGUUGCAUUGAGCCAAGAUCACACCGCUGCACUCAAGCCUGGGUGACAGUGAGACUCUGUCUCAAAACAAACAAAACAAAAAAGCUAAAACAAUGAUAAACUAUUUUUAAUAGAUAUUUUCAUUCUAUAUCUUUAUGGAGAAUGUCAGUAUCAACUGAUGUUAACAAGUAAAGCUUUGUCAACAGGAAUUACAAUGUGAUUCACAGAUCCCAGAAUGACAAGGAAGGGACCUUAACCCAAUAAAUGAUUCUCCCAUUCAAUGUUUACCCCCUAGAUACUUAACAAUUCAAGCAUGGAACUGUUUCAUGUUUACCCGUUCUACAUUUAAAGGAUGCCCUUUUACUAUAUAUGUGCUUUCUAGAAUAUUACUGAUUCUUACAUAUCUUUAAAAGUUGGAUAUUUGUAAUAGCUUAAAGUACAGUAACACUUAUUUUGUGUAAUCUUUCUUAAUUUAAAAACAAAAAAUAAAUGAACAAGUCAGUUCCAAUGAUCUCCUUUGAGAUUUUUCAGUUUUAGAAAGUUGCUACACUGUCGGACAGGUGUGGUGGCUCAUGCCUGUAAUCCCAGCACUUAGGGAGGCCAAGGCAGGUGGAUCACUUGAGGUCAAGAGUUCGAGACUAGCCUGGCCAACAUGGUGAAGCCCCGUCUCUACUAAAAAUACAAAAAUUAGCCAGGUGUGGCGGCGGGCACCUGUAAUUCCAGCUACUUGGAAGGCUGAGGCAAGACAAUCGCUUCAACCCGGGAGGUGGAGGUUGCAGUGAGCUGAGAUCGCACCACUGCACACCAGCCUGGGCAACAGAGCGAACCCAUCUCAAAAAAAAAAAAAAGAAAAAAAAAAAAAAAGAAAGAAAGUUGCUCACUGUCAAUACUGGGUAAAAAGCUCUUAUAUCAACACCAGCUUUUUUUUUGUUCUGCCACAUGCCUUGUAUAGCAACAACUCUGGAAUAGAGUCAAGUGUCAAAAUAAUGUUGUGAAAUACGGGCUGUCUCAACCUGUAAGUCCUUAAUGUUAAGUCUCCUAAAUUUUGUAACUUAAUCAGGUAUGGGGCCAACUGAUGUUUAGUAUGUGAAAUGUGUUAUAAAAAUUAUGAUAUGAUUCACUCAGACCCCUUAGAUGUCAUCUAGCCUAACCCUUUACCCAAUGUAUACAAAUAUUCCCUCCCAGUUCCAAGUUUAUUAAGAUUCCCUCUCAGUAUAUUAAGUAGUAAUGAUUAUGUUCAUAUUUAUUUAAGCCACAAUGAAUUUUGGGGGGAAGAUUUUACUUACUACUAGUUCCUCAUGUCAUGUUCACCAAACACUGCACAUGUAAGUGUUCAAAUAGUUUGCUAAAUGAAUUUAAGUACAUGAAUGACAAUAUUCAUAUGUGUUCAUAUAUUCAGUGGUUAACCAAUAAGGAGCAUUUAGGAAAAUGUCAUCAUUUGCUUGUUAUGUAUGAAUUUUCUAUUUUAAUCCUUAGGAGAACAAAGACUGUAGGUGACCCAAGAAAUGGAUGCUUAUUAAGUAUAAAAUGAACCCUUAAAAAAGGAAAGAGAAUAAAGUAGGAAUAACCCCAUUACACAGCCUAGAAUCAUAGUUUUAGAGCUGGGAGGUACCUUAAAGAUGAAUUAAACCAAAAUCAACUUUUGAGUAGUACAGGCACCAUACUGCAUAUCUGGAAGCUGUUAAAACAGCUGAGUAAUUGCCCAACAUGUCACACACAGCUAACCCACUGAAAUAAAACCCCAGUCUCCAGACCAGUGUGUUAAUCCUCAUUCAUCAUCAUCUUAAUUCAUUAUUUACUACUGAAAUAGAUUAUUUACUGAUUAUUUAAUACUACCCAAAACAAAAAAUACUUUUAAGAGAAGCAUUCUAAAUAAAGAUUUAAACACUAGACACUUCUGGUUUACUUUAGGCAAGACUAAAAAAUUCUUUCUAAAACAGGUUGAUGUUUAACUUCACUAAUGACUAGACACCCCACCACUCUCUCAUAAACACCAACUUUUUCACCACCAUCACUUAAAGCUCCACAAAGCUUGGAUUUAACACUGAUAAUAUUCCAUGAAAUAUAACUUUUAAGCCAAUAAGUGAUGGUGACUAUCAAUCCUUAAGAUGAUUACUGGAGUAAAUUUAAACAGGUGCUCUAAAAGAACUUACUACCUUACUCUUAUAUUUAAUUAACACCUUGCCAUGUUAGUAUAACAGUGUUUUCAAAUUAUGUUGUUUUCAAAACUGAAAUUCAUUCAUUACUCUGCUUUUUUUAAACAACAAAUUUUGUUUUCUUUCUAUGGAUUCAUACUGAACACCACCAGUAUCACUGAGAGGACUAGUACUUGUAAAAAGCAGUAGAAACAAAAAUAUUUUUCAAAAGUAUAAAGCUAGCUAGAACCUCACUAUGUUGUACCUCUAACAUUUCCGAUUAAAAUUGUCAUCUUUAAGUAAAAUUAAAUGUCAACAAACUAUAAAAGGGAAAAAAUAAAACAUCUGGAAAACAUUUCCCAAAUGUUCCCAUAAACAUGACACUUGGAAGGGGUGUGUGCAUGUGUCUGAGUAGAAAAGCUGAUCUUCAGAGCUGAAAAGGAGGGCAGAGAUUCUCCCUUAAUGUAUGUUUUCUAAAUUGAAAGUUUAGAAAAAGCCAUAUUCUCUGGAAUGUGAUGGUAAUAAUUAUAUUUGUAUUAUUUGUAUUAAUGCUUUACAACUUUCAAAAAAAAGCUUUCUCAUAGUACAAUUUUAAAACGGAUUAGGUUCUAAAAACUAAUAUGUAAAACUUUGAAAAUUCUUAAAAAUUUAGGAAAUUCUUUUUCCAAAGAAGGUAAUCUAAUUUUAAAUUUAUUUGAAGAAAGCUUAUAUAACUACUGUGAACAAAACUAUAUGAUACAUUUUAUGAACUUCUAAUAAAAGAGGACGUAUCUUCCCAAAUAAUUUUUUGUUUUGUUUUUUUGAGAUGGAGUCUCGCUCUGUCACCCAGGCUGGAGUGCAGGGGUGUGAUCUUGGCUCACUGCAACCUCCACCACCUGGGUUCAAGCAAUUCUCCUGUCUCAGCCUCCCAAGUAGCUGGAAUUACAGGUGCAUGCCACCACACCCAGCUAAUUUUUGUGUUUUUAGUAGAGAUAGGGUUUCACCAUAUUGGUCAGGCUGGUCUCGAACUCCUGACCUCAGGUGAUCUACCCACCUCAGCCUCCCAAAGUGCUGGGAUUACAGGUGUGAGCCACCAUGCCCAGCCCCAAAUAAUUUCUUUUAAGAUAUACAGCUUAACAAGUUGAAAUUUUAGUAAGAUUGCAUAUUUACUUUUCCUAAUACUGUAUUUGUGCUUAUCUAAAGUGGAUCACAAUCUUUGAGAUGAAAUUAAAUGCUCCAAGUAGAUUUGUAAAAUACCAAUAUUGAUGAAUGUGGGUAAACAGUUCAUUUCAUGAUCCACACUGCUGUGAACCAAAGAAGCAGAGGUAGGCUUGUGUUUACUGAAAUCCAGACUAGGAAAGAGAAACCUAUAGCUCUUCUUUUCCCAAUUCUUAGACUGAGACACAACCUAGCAAAUAAAAUACUAUCUUAAAAUGCCUCUCUUUAUAACAAUCUACAGAGGUGAUUCAACUGUGAUAUCUGAAAAUGGAAACUCUGUAAUUCUGGCAACUCAAUUACAACAACCUUUGAAUUUUUGACAAAUAUUCUCCAACUGUAAUAAAAGGUUCUCACCUUUUUCAGAAAUCAAAAAUCACUAACUUCUACAUCACUGGAACUAUUAAUAUCCAUGCUCCCAAGCAUGGAGACAGUGGGUAUAGAGAGUGAAAGAAUGAGUCUGAUUACAGGUAAAUCUUGACAUAUAAAAACUAUAACCUAUUUACUGCUAUAACUGGCAUCUAACAAAACGCAUUAUUUUGAACUAUGGAUGAAAGCCAUAUCUAUCCUAAAUAUCUUCUAUCCUCUUGGGUCUAGAAUGCUUUGUUCCUCCUACUUGUCUCCUCCUCUACUUCCCUAUCCUUCCCCCUAGAAAACCUUCCUUAGGGCCCAGCUAGUUACAUAUGUAGUACACAAGAUAGAGAUUGAGCAAUCAUUUUGCAUAGAUGCGCCAGUUUCCACUGCCCAAAGGUUGCUCUGGAACAUGACUGUCAGGUAUCAGAAAGUCCUGCCCCAGCUGCCUCCCUUCCUAAAGUUAGCCCCCAUACGAAAUCCUCUCUAAGGAUUCUGAGACAAAGAUCUCUCCAAGAAAGAAGUUUUCAUGGUUUUCUUGGAGCUAGAGGCCUUAGAGAGGUAGUGAGAUGAGGCCCUUUCAUGCCAUUAGCUAAUGCUCAAUGCCAGUAGGCUGCAUGUGUUCCUGCAAUCCACCAAGGUGAAAACCACAAACUAUAACCAGGCUGUUCUGGCUGAAAAUACAUCUUUAAAACAUUUUAACAGUGUGUCCAGUCAGUUUCAUCCACUGGAUAUGGCUGUCAGGUCAGCAUCACUCACAUACAUCUAUAAUAGUGUAUUCUUUCAAAAAUUGUUUAUACACACUUAAUAUAGGCAUAUAGCCUAAGACUAUAUUGCCUCCCUACCAUACUUGUGCCAUUGUGGUACCAAAAGCCUGAAGAUGUACAUAAUGUACUUUAAGACAUUUAACUGAACAAGUCAGUGGGAGACAGGGCACUAUAACACAUUUCAAUUCAAUCUAAGACUUGUAUUUGUGAAUAGAUGUCUCAUUAUAAUUUUAUACUUGAUACAUGAAGAUAAGCUACGUCAAAAAUUAUUCAAAGGCAUGAUCACAAUAAUACUUGUUUCAUAGUUCUAAGUAUUUUGAUACACCAGGAAACAAAAAUCAACUGGGAUCCCUAAUGAAAGAAAAUUAUUUCUUCUAAGUAAAACAUGAAUUUCACUUCAAAAGUGCAGAAAUGUGCUCAGUGUUGAAGUAGGCUAAGCUAACAAGGAUGAUGGCCUCCUCCUCUGACUCUUCCCAUGCUCAAGCUUUUGCAUUACCAUUUCUCUCCUCCCAUUCCACCUUGUCUACUCCUAGGUGACUGCUCUUAAAACACACCUUUUAAAAAGUUCUGUUUAGAGCAUUCAACAGCAAAGUAACAGGACCAUCAGGGAAAUAAUAUGCUACUUAAAAAGUGACAGGAGGAUUUGGGACAACACUCUAUCUCAUACUAUAUUGACUACUCAAAGCUGCAUAGCUGUGUCUUACACAUGCCUACACAAGGCUUGAUGAAUAUUAAUGUCAUAUAAAAAAUAAUUUUUACAAAUCAGCUCUCUUAGUUGUUUAACUUCCCCAGGAACACAAGGCUUAAAGCAAAAUUUCAAACUUAUGCUUUUUAUCCCAAUGGGACAAAGAGUGCAACACUGCAAGGAAGUCAGAAAAUGCAAACUUAGGUAGCAAAAGUAGGAAGAACCUCCAUGUUCCCUUUCUGUUUGUCAUUAUCUCUCCCCAGUCAAAAUCCUAAAACUAUUAGUAGUAGUAUGAAAGGAUAUGAAAACAAUUUACUCUCCCCACCUAUAUCAUACUGAAACUCUGCUUUAAAGCUCAGGAGAGAGGUGGAUGCUCAGUGUUGUCUAUAUAUCCUUAAGACAGCAGUAGGCACAGGGGCUUUCAAUAAGUACAGAAUGGCUGCUAUUAGGAAAGAGAACAAAUAAAAGGAGAGCCUACAACACAGUUCAAAAUUGAUACCUUAAAGGCCAUAGGUAAUACAGUUAUAGGAUGUAAUCAUUAUUGCUGGAGCAGUCUAUCCCCAUAUAAUAAAUUUUGUAUUAACCGUGGAUAAUCUAUGAAAAGUUUUAAUUCCAGGCGAGAUUUUCCGUUGCACCUCUCUCUCUCAUACUGUGGGCCAUCUCUUACUAAUGCUUAGCCUGUAUUUGUGUUCUGAAAUUCCAAGAAGAGGGAAAAGUCAAGCAUAUGACAAUUCUGUCAUGAUGAUUAACUGCUAAUAAAUGAAAACUCAUUAUAGAGUACCUAGCUUUCCUUGAUACUUUAAUCCAAUGAUUAAAAAUGUGAUAUAAAGAAAUACGUAACAUAGACUACAAGCUAUCGUAGGUCUGGAACAUGAGCCUUA